GAACGCUAGCGGCAGGCCUAACACAUGCAAGUCGAGGGGCAUCGGGAUUGAAGCUUGCUUCAAUUGCCGGCGACCGGCGCACGGGUGCGUAACGCGUAUGUAACCUACCUAUAACAGGGGCAUAACACUGAGAAAUUGGUACUAAUUCCCCAUAAUAUUCGGAGAGGCAUCUCUCCGGGUUGAAAACUCCGGUGGUUAUAGAUGGACAUGCGUUGUAUUAGCUAGUUGGUGAGGUAACGGCUCACCAAGGCAACGAUACAUAGGGGGACUGAGAGGUUAACCCCCCCCACACUGGUACUGAGACACGGACCAGACUCCUACGGGAGGCAGCAGUGAGGAAUAUUGGUCAAUGGACGCAAGUCUGAACCAGCCAUGCCGCGUGCAGGAAGACGGCUCUAUGAGUUGUAAACUGCUUUUGUACGAGGGUAAACUCACCUACGUGUAGGUGACUGAAAGUAUCGUACGAAUAAGGAUCGGCUAACUCCGUGCCAGCAGCCGCGGUAAUACGGAGGAUUCAAGCGUUAUCCGGAUUUAUUGGGUUUAAAGGGUGCGUAGGCGGUUUGAUAAGUUAGAGGUGAAAUCCCGGGGCUUAACUCCGGAACUGCCUCUAAUACUGUUAGACUAGAGAGUAGUUGCGGUAGGCGGAAUGUAUGGUGUAGCGGUGAAAUGCUUAGAGAUCAUACAGAACACCGAUUGCGAAGGCAGCUUACCAAACCAUAUCUGACGUUGAGGCACGAAAGCGUGGGGAGCAAACAGGAUUAGAUACCCUGGUAGUCCACGCAGUAAACGAUGAUAACUCGUUGUCGGCGAUACACAGUCGGUGACUAAGCGAAAGCGAUAAGUUAUCCACCCUGGGGAGUACGUUCGCAAGAAUGAAACUCAAAGGAAUUGACGGGGGCCCGCACAAGCGGAGGAACAUGUGGUUUAAUUCGAUGAUACGCGAGGAACCUUACCCGGGCUUGAAAGUUACUGACGAUUCUGGAAACAGGAUUUCCCUUCGGGGCAGGAAACUAGGUGCUGCAUGGUUGUCGUCAGCUCGUGCCGUGAGGUGUCGGGUUAAGUCCCAUAACGAGCGCAACCCCUACCGUUAGUUGCCAUCAGGUCAAGCUGGGCACUCUGGCGGGACUGCCGGUGUAAGCCGAGAGGAAGGUGGGGAUGACGUCAAAUCAGCACGGCCCUUACGUCCGGGGCUACACACGUGUUACAAUGGUAGGUACAGAGGGUCGCUACCCCGCGAGGGGAUGCCAAUCUCGAAAGCCUAUCUCAGUUCGGAUUGGAGGCUGAAACCCGCCUCCAUGAAGUUGGAUUCGCUAGUAAUCGCGCAUCAGCCAUGGCGCGGUGAAUACGUUCCCGGGCCUUGUACACACCGCCCGUCAAGCCAUGGAAGCUGGGGGUGCCUGAAGUUCGUGACCGCAAGGAGCGACCUAGGGCAAAACCGGUAACUGG
RNAcentral lists this ribosomal RNA (1446 nucleotides) under uncultured organism. RNAcentral describes it as "SSU rRNA". It matches the Rfam family "Bacterial small subunit ribosomal RNA". The record is from RNAcentral.